GGGUUGUGAGGUUAAGCGACUAAGCGUACACGGUGGAUGCCCUGGCAGUCAGAGGCGAUGAAGGACGUGCUAAUCUGCGAAAAGCGUCGGUAAGGUGAUAUGAACCGUUAUAACCGGCGAUGUCCGAAUGGGGAAACCCAGUGUGAUUCGUCACACUAUCGUUAACUGAAUACAUAGGUUAACGAGGCG
Molecule: ribosomal RNA, 189 nt
Filed under: Klebsiella pneumoniae
Lineage: Bacteria; Pseudomonadati; Pseudomonadota; Gammaproteobacteria; Enterobacterales; Enterobacteriaceae
Description: partial 23S ribosomal RNA
Rfam family: Bacterial large subunit ribosomal RNA
Source: RNAcentral